GGAGGAAGGGCCGCCGAGGUGAGCGGGCGCCCUGAGCCGGCGUCUCUGCAGCCACCCUCGCCAUGUCGGCGCGCAACCUGGGCACCGAGCUGGACCUUAGCUGGAUCUCCAAAAUACAAGUGAACCAGCCGGCAGUUCUGAGACGUGCACAGCAAAUCCAGGCUCGUAGGACCGUGAAGAAGGAGUGGCAAGCUGCUUGGCUCCUGAAAGCUGUUACCUUUAUAGAUCUUACUACACUUUCGGGUGAUGACACGUCUUCCAAUGUUCAAAGGCUCUGUUAUAAAGCCAAGUAUCCAAUCCGGGAAGACCUCUUAAAAGCUUUAAAUAUGCACGAUAAAGGCAUCACCACGGCUGCUGUUUGUGUUUAUCCUGCACGGGUCUGCGAUGCAGUGAAAGCACUAAAGGCUGCAGGCUGUAACAUCCCAGUGGCAUCAGUGGCCACUGGCUUUCCAGCUGGACAGACUCAUUUAAAAACACGAUUAGAAGAGAUCAGACUGGCUGUGGAAGAUGGAGCUACAGAAAUCGACGUGGUAAUUAACAGGACCUUGGUGUUGACCGGCCAGUGGGAAGCCCUGUAUGAUGAGAUUCGUCAGUUUCGCAAGGCCUGUGGGGAGGCUCAUCUCAAAACCAUCUUAGCAACAGGAGAACUUGGAUCUCUGACUAAUGUCUACAAAGCCAGUAUGAUAGCAAUGAUGGCAGGAUCAGAUUUUAUUAAGACCUCUACUGGAAAAGAAACAGUAAAUGCCACUUUCCCGGUAGCUAUAGUAAUGCUACGGGCCAUUAGAGAUUUCUUCUGGAGAACUGGAAACAAGGUAGGCUUCAAGCCAGCAGGAGGCAUCCGCAGUGCAAAGGAUUCCCUUGCGUGGCUCUCUCUCAUAAAGGAGGAGCUGGGAGAUGAUUGGCUGAAGCCAGAACUCUUUCGAAUAGGGGCCAGCACUCUGCUUUUGGACAUUGAGAGACAGAUUUACCAUCAAGUGACUGGAAGAUAUGCGGCUUACCAUGAUCUUCCAAUGCCUUAAAUCAGCAAGCGACCAAUAUCAGAAAGUUCUUUACAACAGUGUUUAAAAAUUACUUUGCUACAACAUUGCUAAAAUUAUUUAAUUAAGAAAUGGGGGAAUGGGUAAUAACUGACCUUUUUUCCUCUUCAAGUGUCUGUUGAAUUUAAUUCAAAGAAUGAAAGAAAAAACUAAUCCACAUAUGUGUUCAUUUCAGGCACACCUGAGAUGCUCUUAAUUAUCAGAUGAUCUGCGCUGUUAAUUUAAUGAAGGUUUUUCUUAAAAUGCCAAGUAAAAUGUUACUGAUAGCUUUGACAACAUUAAAUUCCAAGGAAAAAAAUGUUAAAUUGCCAAGAAACGUGCUCUAGUAACAGAAAAUGUGUUGUCCCUGAAGUUCUCCUGGACUCAGGCAACUCAGAGGAGCUGGCUUAGCACUAAUAUCCUGCCCUGAAAAUUCUUUAAGUUUUCCAACAGAUAUGCUCUUUCAGAAAUUAUUUUGUUAAUAAAAUUUCUGUCCUUGUUAUAUGAAAUGCUGUGUAUCAUUGCAUGUCUUUAAUUUUUUUUAUUUUAUUAUUUUUUUAAAAUUUUAUUUAUACAAGAGCAGGGGCACAGGCCAGUUGCGCGGGAGAGUGGGAGAACUCACCAGAGACAGAGCAGGGAACAGAACAGGCAGACUGACAAAAUACACUGCUGAGAGGAGCAGCGGGCGAGACAGGAGAGGUGUGCUCGCCAUGUGAGUUGCUCCAAGGCCGGCAGGUAUCGAACCAGCACUGCAGAGUCUGCGGACAGCUUCACAGCUCUGCGCCCAACCGCCUGCGCCACCAGGGAGGCCCUAAAUGUGUUCAAUUUUUAAAAAUCCCAGUCUCUCUGGUGACGCAAGGGGUUAAGCACCGCACUAUGAAGCAAUCUGCAGCCUCUGUAGCACGAGUUCGUUCCCCGGCCGGCCAGAGAGAAACACACAUGGAGCAGCAGACCUCUCCUGUCUCACCCACUGCUCCCCUCAGCAGUGUAUUUCAAUCAGUCUGCCUGUUCUGUUCCCCACUCUGUGUCUGGUGAAUCUUCUCACCCACCACAUCUCUGGCCUGUACCCCAGCUCUUGUAUGCAUAAAUAAAUAAAUCUUU
Molecule: RNA transcript, 2117 nt
Organism: Talpa occidentalis (Iberian mole)
Lineage: Eukaryota; Metazoa; Chordata; Mammalia; Eulipotyphla; Talpidae
Gene: DERA
Gene name: deoxyribose-phosphate aldolase
Exons: 10
Source: RefSeq, a predicted model, not a curated record